This 723-nucleotide unclassified non-coding RNA is filed under the name Hevea brasiliensis (rubber tree). Lineage: Eukaryota; Viridiplantae; Streptophyta; Magnoliopsida; Malpighiales; Euphorbiaceae. The record is from RNAcentral.
GACAUUGCAUUUGCACCAUAUGGAGAGUACUGGAGACAGAUGAGGAAAAUUUGCAUGCUGGAGUUGCUAAGUGCUAAGCGUGUGCAAUCAUUCAGAUCAAUAAGGGAAGAAGAGGUAUCAAAUCUAAUGAGUAGUAUUUCUUUUAAUGGAGGAUCCCUGGUGAACCUUAGCAAGAAGUUGUUUGCUUUCACGUACAGUGUGAUUUCAAGGGCAGCCUUUGGUAGGGUAAGGGAAGAGCAAGAAGCAUUUGUAGCUCUUGUUAAAGAAAUAAUGGAAGUGGGAGCAGGUUUUAGUAUUUCCGAUUUGUUCCCUUCCAUUAAAGUGCUUCAAAUGGUUAGUGGGAUGGGAGCUAAAAUGGAAAGGUUGCAUCAGGAAGCAGACAGGAUACUCGAAAAUAUAAUCAGUGAUCAUAGAUCCAGAAAAGCAGCGGUUAGGAUUGCCGAUGAGGGUGUUGAUCUUGUAGAUGUUUUUUUGAACCUUCAGGAUCAAGAAAACCUUGAGUUCUCUUUAUCAAUUGACAACAUCAAGUCAGUCAUCCUGGACAUAUUCAUUGCUGGGAGUGAGACUUCAUCUACAACUGCAGAAUGGGCGAUGUCAGAGAUGCUAAGAAACCCAACAGUGAUGGAAAAGGCACAAGCAGAGGUGAGGCAAGUUUUCAGUGGAAAAGGCCAUGUAGACGAAGAAGGUCUUGGAGAAUUAAAUUACUUAAAAUUGGUUAUCAAA